RNAcentral lists this ribosomal RNA (448 nucleotides) under uncultured bacterium. Its description in RNAcentral is "partial 16S ribosomal RNA". It matches the Rfam family "Bacterial small subunit ribosomal RNA", at positions 329 to 797 of the family's 1533-position model. The record is from RNAcentral.
AACCAGACUCCUACGGGAGGCAGCAGUGGGGGAUAUUGCACAAUGGGGGAAACCCUGAUGCAGCGACGCCGCGUGUGGGAAGACGGUCUUCUGGAUUGUAAACCACUGUCCCCAGGGGCGAAAAUGACGGUACCUGGGGAGGAAGCUCCGGCUAACUACGUGCCGGCAGCCGCGGUAAUACGGAGGAUGCGAGCGUUAUCCGGAUUUAUUGGGUUUAAAGGGUGCGUAGGCGGACUGGAAAGUCAGCGGUAAAAUCGAGAGGCUCACCCUCUGUCCGCCGUUGAAACUGUCGGUCUUGAGUGGGCGAGAAGUAUGCGGAAUGCGUGGUGUAGCGGUGAAAUGCAUAGAUAUCACGCAGAACUCCGAUUGCGAAGGCAGCAUACCGGCGCCCGACUGACGCUGAGGCACGAAGCGUGGGUAUCGAACAGGAUUAGAUACCCCUGUACCU